GGAGGACGACUUGUCCCAGCGCGAGAGGCAGACCGCGGCGUCGUGGCCCGCGGCGCGGAGGGACUCGGCCAGUAGGCGGAGGAGGUCGCGCUUGCGCGCCCCUGACGCGCGGUGGCGCUCGACCUGGGUGGAGACGUCGGCGAGGAGGUUGCGCUCCCGGAGGCUGGCGCAGUGGACGAGGCCCUGCACGCGGAGUUCAGAAAUGGUAAGUUCGCGACCGACAACCGCCAAUCACAGUGAACAGCAACAAGUCAGAAGCACUGCAAUACCUUGAUGGUCUCCGCGAUGUCAGCGGCUGCGGCAUCCGCCGAGGCGGGGCCAUCCUCGUCGUCGGAGGUGUCACCGGCGUGGAAGCAGUUGCAGCACCGCGCGGCCGCUCCCCGCUCGCCG
Molecule: long non-coding RNA, 390 nt
Filed under: Setaria italica (foxtail millet)
Lineage: Eukaryota; Viridiplantae; Streptophyta; Magnoliopsida; Poales; Poaceae
Description: long non-coding RNA (SITA_LNC007382)
Source: RNAcentral